GACGAACGCUGGCGGCGUGCCUAAUACAUGCAAGUCGAGCGGACCGACGGGAGCUUGCUCCCUUAGGUCAGCGGCGGACGGGUGAGUAACACGUGGGUAACCUGCCUGUAAGACUGGGAUAACUCCGGGAAACCGGGGCUAAUACCGGAUGCUUGAUUGAACCGCAUGGUUCAAUCAUAAAAGGUGGCUUUUAGCUACCACUUACAGAUGGACCCGCGGCGCAUUAGCUAGUUGGUGAGGUAACGGCUCACCAAGGCGACGAUGCGUAGCCGACCUGAGAGGGUGAUCGGCCACACUGGGACUGAGACACGGCCCAGACUCCUACGGGUGGCUG
This 334-nucleotide ribosomal RNA is filed under the name uncultured Bacillota bacterium. RNAcentral describes it as "bacterial SSU rRNA". It matches the Rfam family "Bacterial small subunit ribosomal RNA", at positions 28 to 351 of the family's 1533-position model. The record is from RNAcentral. Lineage: Bacteria; Bacillati; Bacillota.